Bombyx mori (domestic silkworm) is the source of this 1542-nucleotide long non-coding RNA. RefSeq lists it as uncharacterized. The transcript is spliced from 2 exons. The record is from RefSeq and is a predicted model, not a curated record. NCBI's taxonomy places the organism in Eukaryota, Metazoa, Arthropoda, Insecta, Lepidoptera, Bombycidae.
GGAGAUACUCACGGCUGGUUAUUGACGUCCUUGUGAGCGUAGGGGGUACCAUCGAGAGGUUGAAGCACAGUGUGGGUUCCGAUUUAAAAGGUCGGCCCGCAGUUAUAUUUGCUACCUGGACCUCAGCUGUCUAUGGGCUCCAGCAUCCACAUAUCAUACGAAGCGAGGAGCUCGACGACCAGUCUCAACCAGCGCAAUAACCAUUACUUUCAUCAAAUCUUUUUUUAAUUUUAUUGCGACUGUGGGCAGACGAGCAUACAGCCCACUUGAUGUUGAGUGAUUACUGUUGCUCAUAGAUGUUAGCAAUGCCAGGAGCAGAGCCCAGCUGCUGCCUACCGUUUAAUACUCUCCACAGGCCUCGUUUGAAGAAGAAAAUGUCAUAAGGAGCUCAUUCCAAAGCUAGAUGGUACGUGGCAAAAAAGAUAUCUGGAAACGCAUUGUGGAUGACCACAGAGGCUCCAGAUACUAUGAAUGAAAUCUACUCCGGUAGCGGGCGGUGCGAUGGUAAAAACGAAAUGAUAGUAUCAUCUCAAACAAUUCACUAAUUAUUUAAUUUUACUUCAAUGUUGCAACAAUCACCAUUAAAUAAUAACCCUACAGUUCAUUUCUUAUCUCGACUAGGUCAGAAAACACAUUCAUUAUGAACGUAAUCUCGCUUCGUUCGUCAACUGUAUACAUAGGUAUAUAAUAAUAUGUAAUUUAUUUGUUAAUAUUUGACCAACGAGUAACCGUGUGUGUUAUAAUGUAUUGUAUGGUCAAGCGUAAAUUCAGUGCACCUUACAAGUUAUUUUUUAUUUAUUUAUUUAUGUACACACAAAAAAGAAGACAGAGUAAUAGGAAAUUAUGUACAAAGGCACUGCUUAUUUCUUUAAGAAAUCUCUUUCAGCAGACCUGCGAGAGGAUUAUGAGAAUAAUAAUUAAAAGUGAUGAGUGUGUGUAGAACAGGUGUCGUCCGUGAACAUGUGCUAAAUACGGAUUUCAUUACAAAAGUCGGUCUUGCGUGCGGGGCCGGCGCGAUGCACCUUAUCCCGAGAGCACUACGUACUAAAUUCGUGCGACAGUGAGGCGACACAGCGUGGGAGCAUUAAAGGAAAUGGGAUAAACAGAUCACGAGCUCUGAAGCUUUAUGGCUCGAGCUUCACAAAUGAUACAAUAUUCCGUUCUAUACGGAACCAUGUCGUUAUAAAGUACGAACUAAUCGAGAUCAUAAUAUGUUUAUGACGUCAGAGAACUGGUUUUUUUCCCCCUACCUAAGCAGUUCCUUGAGUGGCUAUAUCAGCGUAACCUUAACUAGUAGAUGAGCUCACGGGGCUCAAACCUGACGACGUUGCUAACAUGAACCCUAGCAAGAGCCGUGCUUCGCAGAAUCUACCACCGCAUCGGAAACGCGAUCCACUGAGAAGAUCCGGCGAGAAACUCAGUGGGCUGUGUCUGUGGGUUAAUUUAGUCGCCGAGCCCUUCGUCGCAAGCGACGGGUAGAGAACUGUAAUAACUAUGCAAGUGUAUAUUCGUUGGUUUUCAAUAUAUUGUUUAAUAUUGUGA